This 497-nucleotide ribosomal RNA is filed under the name uncultured bacterium. RNAcentral's name for it is "partial 16S ribosomal RNA". It matches the Rfam family "Bacterial small subunit ribosomal RNA", at positions 28 to 507 of the family's 1533-position model. The record is from RNAcentral.
GACGAACGCUGGCGGCGUGCCUAAUACAUGCAAGUAGAACGCUGAAGAGAGGAGCUUGCUCUUCUUGGAUGAGUUGCGAACGGGUGAGUAGCGCGUAGGUAACCUGCCUGGUAGCGGGGGAUAACUAUUGGAAACGAUAGCUAAUACCGCAUAAAAUUGAUUAUUGCAUGAUAAUUAAUUGAAAGAUGCAACUGCAUCACUACCAGAUGGACCUGCGUUGUAUUAGCUAGUUGGUGAGGUAACGGCUCACCAAGGCGACGAUACAUAGCCGACCUGAGAGGGUGAUCGGCCACACUGGGACUGAGACACGGCCCAGACUCCUACGGGAGGCAGCAGUAGGGAAUCUUCGGCAAUGGGGGGAACCCUGACCGAGCAACGCCGCGUGAGUGAAGAAGGUUUUCGGAUCGUAAAGCUCUGUUGUAAGAGAAGAACGGGUGUGAGAGUGGAAAGUUCACACUGUGACGGUAUCUUACCAGAAAGGGACGGCUAACUACGUG